Melanotaenia boesemani (Boeseman's rainbowfish) is the source of this 655-nucleotide long non-coding RNA. RefSeq lists it as uncharacterized. The record is from RefSeq and is a predicted model, not a curated record. Lineage: Eukaryota; Metazoa; Chordata; Actinopteri; Atheriniformes; Melanotaeniidae. The transcript is spliced from 4 exons.
UAUUUUCAGCUAACCUUUUUAGAUGACUUUGGUGACAGCUGACUUCAUCUUAACAGACCUGCAGGGAGCACCUCACUCCCCUGCCGGGCUGACAAGCUCAGAUGCAUGCAAGCAGCCUACCUUCUGUCUGUGCCUAGGUCACUUGGCUCCUUCAGAAAGGCUUUCUGGAACAACAGAGCCAAGCAGAGGAAAUAACAGCCCAAUCGCAAGAAGUUCCCCCCACUCCUCCUCCACCAGACCACUGGGUUUUGGAGAAGGGUGUGUCAGAGUGUAUGAAUGAGAUUGUGGCUUUCACUGCUGCAAAAAUAAGUUAAUUUGUUUAAAAGCAUCCACUUUUUUUAACUUCUGGUCUGCAAAAUAUCCUUAAGAAGAAAAAUAAAUCACAAUGGGGCAAUGUAAGGAUGUUUUUUUGUUUCAAAUGAUGCCAGAUUGCAGUCGUUAUUUGCUACAAAAGAUUUAUCCUCAAAACUCUCUGUCUUUGAAAGUUGAGAUGGGCAGAUGAUUUCCAGUUUGUCAACAAAUAUUUGAGGAAUUUUGUUCCUUAAAAAAAGAGUGGCAGGGUUUGCAUUUUUCUACACGUCCAGUAAUAUAAUUAAACUAUUCAAAUGGAAAAUGUGAAGAAUGUGGAUGAAGGCAGUUUGAGGCAGUCUGAUAU